Molecule: ribosomal RNA, 243 nt
Filed under: Vibrio ouci
Lineage: Bacteria; Pseudomonadati; Pseudomonadota; Gammaproteobacteria; Vibrionales; Vibrionaceae
Description: Vibrio sp. BEI176 partial 16S ribosomal RNA
Rfam family: Bacterial small subunit ribosomal RNA
Source: RNAcentral
AAAUUGAAGAGUUUGAUCAUGGCUCAGAUUGAACGCUGGCGGCAGGCCUAACACAUGCAAGUCGAGCGGAAACGACUUAACUGAACCUUCGGGGAACGUUAAGGGCGUCGAGCGGCGGACGGGUGAGUAAUGCCUGGGAAAUUGCCCUGAUGUGGGGGAUAACCAUUGGAAACGAUGGCUAAUACCGCAUAAUGCCUUCGGGCCAAAGAGGGGGACCUUCGGGCCUCUCGCGUCAGGAUAUGC